GACGAACCGUGCGAACGUUGUUCGGAAUCACUGGGCUUAAAGGGCGCGUAGGCGGGCAUUCAAGUCGGUGGUGAAAUCCUCCAGCUUAACUGGAGAAGAGCUGUCGAUACUGGAUGUCUCGAGGGGUGCAGGGGUCUGCGGAGCUUCGGGUGGAGCGGUGAAAUGCGUAGAGAUCCGAAGGAACACCGGUGGCGAAGGCGGUUGCCUGGGGCUUUGCUGACGCUGAGGCGCGAAAGCGUGGGGAGCGAUCCGG
RNAcentral lists this ribosomal RNA (253 nucleotides) under uncultured bacterium. RNAcentral's name for it is "partial 16S ribosomal RNA". It matches the Rfam family "Bacterial small subunit ribosomal RNA", at positions 524 to 776 of the family's 1533-position model. The record is from RNAcentral.